RNAcentral lists this small RNA (80 nucleotides) under Flavobacterium sp. FPG59. Its description in RNAcentral is "Flavo-1 RNA". It matches the Rfam family "Flavo-1 RNA". Lineage: Bacteria; Pseudomonadati; Bacteroidota; Flavobacteriia; Flavobacteriales; Flavobacteriaceae. The record is from Rfam by way of RNAcentral.
CCCUAGCCCUGAUAGUAGUGGAAAUCCUUUUUGUUUUUUCUUUAAAAACAAAAAGAUUGAAACGAAUAGCAGGAUUAGCU